This 252-nucleotide ribosomal RNA is filed under the name uncultured bacterium. RNAcentral describes it as "partial 16S ribosomal RNA". It matches the Rfam family "Bacterial small subunit ribosomal RNA", at positions 524 to 776 of the family's 1533-position model. The record is from RNAcentral.
UACGUAGGUCCCGAGCGUUGUCCGGAUUUAUUGGGCGUAAAGCGAGCGCAGGUGGUUUAUUAAGUCUGGUGUAAAAGGCAGUGGCUCAACCAUUGUAUGCAUUGGAAACUGGUAGACUUGAGUGCAGGAGAGGAGAGUGGAAUUCCGUGUGUAGCGGUGAAAUGCGUAGAUAUAUGGAGGAACACCGGCGGCGAAAGCGGCUCUCUGGCCUGUAACUGACACUGAGGCUCGAAAGCGUGGGGAGCAAACAGG